RNAcentral lists this ribosomal RNA (1257 nucleotides) under uncultured Flavobacterium sp. RNAcentral's name for it is "partial 16S ribosomal RNA". It matches the Rfam family "Bacterial small subunit ribosomal RNA", at positions 8 to 1255 of the family's 1533-position model. The record is from RNAcentral. Lineage: Bacteria; Pseudomonadati; Bacteroidota; Flavobacteriia; Flavobacteriales; Flavobacteriaceae.
AGAGUUUGAUCCUGGCUCAGGAUGAACGCUAGCGGCAGGCCUAAUACAUGCAAGUCGAACGGGAUCCAAGGUAAAGCUUGCUUUAUUUUGGUGAGAGUGGCGCACGGGUGCGUAACGCGUGAGCAACCUACCCAUAUCAGGGGGAUAGCCCGGCGAAAGUCGGAUUAACACCGCAUAACAAUACGGGAUCGCAUGAUUCUGUAUUUAAAUAUUUAUAGGAUAUGGAUGGGCUCGCGUGACAUUAGCUAGUUGGUAAGGUAACGGCUUACCAAGGCUACGAUGUCUAGGGGCUCUGAGAGGAGAAUCCCCCACACUGGUACUGAGACACGGACCAGACUCCUACGGGAGGCAGCAGUAAGGAAUAUUGGGCAAUGGGCGAGAGCCUGACCCAGCCAUGCCGCGUGCAGGAAGACGGUCCUAUGGAUUGUAAACUGCUUUUAUACGGGAAGAAACACUCCGACGCGUCGGAGCUUGACGGUACCGUAAGAAUAAGGAUCGGCUAACUCCGUGCCAGCAGCCGCGGUAAUACGGAGGAUCCAAGCGUUAUCCGGAAUCAUUGGGUUUAAAGGGUCCGUAGGCGGGUCUAUAAGUCAGUGGUGAAAUCCGGCAGCUCAACUGUCGAACUGCCAUUGAUACUGUAGGUCUUGAAUUUUUGUGAAGUAGCUAGAAUAUGUAGUGUAGCGGUGAAAUGCUUAGAUAUUACAUGGAAUACCGAUUGCGAAGGCAGGUUACUAACAAAACAUUGACGCUGAGGGACGAAAGCGUGGGUAGCGAACAGGAUUAGAUACCCUGGUAGUCCACGCUGUAAACGAUGGAUACUAGCUGUUGGUUGUACAUUGGUAUGAUCAGUGGCUAAGCGAAAGUGAUAAGUAUCCCACCUGGGGAGUACGAACGCAAGUUUGAAACUCAAAGGAAUUGACGGGGGCCCGCACAAGCGGUGGAGCAUGUGGUUUAAUUCGAUGAUACGCGAGGAACCUUACCAGGGCUUAAAUGUAGAGUGACGUAUUUGGAAACAGAUAUUUCUUCGGACACUUUACAAGGUGCUGCAUGGUUGUCGUCAGCUCGUGCCGUGAGGUGUCAGGUUAAGUCCUAUAACGAGCGCAACCCCUGUUGUUAGUUGCCACCGAGUGAUGCCGGGAAUCUAACAAGACUGCCGGUGCAAACCCUGAGAAAAGGUGGGGAUAAACAUCAAUCAUUACGGGCCUUAAAUCCUGGGGUACACACUGGCUCAAUGGGCGGUACAAAAGAAGCCCCUGG